RNAcentral lists this ribosomal RNA (460 nucleotides) under uncultured Chitinophagaceae bacterium. RNAcentral describes it as "bacterial SSU rRNA". It matches the Rfam family "Bacterial small subunit ribosomal RNA", at positions 337 to 794 of the family's 1533-position model. Lineage: Bacteria; Pseudomonadati; Bacteroidota; Chitinophagia; Chitinophagales; Chitinophagaceae. The record is from RNAcentral.
UCCUACGGGAGGCAGCAGUGAGGAAUAUUGGGCAAUGGACGCAAGUCUGACCCAGCCAUGCCGCGUGAAGGAUGAAGGCGUUCUGCGUUGUAAACUUCUUUUAUAAGGGAAGAAACCUGGAUUUUCUAAUUCAGCCGACGGUACCUUAUGAAUAAGCACCGGCUAACUCCGUGCCAGCAGCCGCGGUAAUACGGAGGGUGCAAGCGUUAUCCGGAUUCACUGGGUUUAAAGGGUGUGUAGGCGGACUGUUAAGUCAGUGGUGAAAUCUCCGGGCUCAACCCGGAAACUGCCGUUGAUACUAUCACUCUUGAAUUCUGUUGAGGUGGGCGGGAUACAUCAUGUAGCGGUGAAAUGCUUAGAUAUGANGUACAACACCGAUUGCGAAGGCAGCUCACUAAGCAGCGAUUGACGCUGACGCACGAAAGCGUGCGGAUCAAACAGGAUUAGAUACCCUGGUAGA